AGUGAACGCUGGCGGUAGGCCUAACACAUGCAAGUCGAACGGCAGCACAGUAAGAGCUUGCUCUUACGGGUGGCGAGUGGCGGACGGGUGAGGAGUACAUCGGAAUCUACUUUUUCGUGGGGGAUAACGUAGGGAAACUUACGCUAAUACCGCAUACGACCUACGGGUGAAAGCAGGGGAUCUUCGGACCUUGCGCGAUUGAAUGAGCCGAUGUCGGAUUAGCUAGUUGGCGGGGUAAAGGCCCACCAAGGCGACGAUCCGUAGCUGGGCUGAGAGGAUGAUCAGCCACACUGGAACUGAGACACGGUCCAGACUCCUACGGGAGGCAGCAGUGGGGAAUAUUGGACAAUGGGCGCAAGCCUGAUCCAGCCAUACCGCGUGGGUGAAGAAGGCCUUCGGGUUGUAAAGCCCUUUUGUUGGGAAAGAAAAGCAGCAGGUUAAUACCCCGCUGUUCUGACGGUACCCAAAGAAUAAGCACCGGCUAACUUCGUG
Molecule: ribosomal RNA, 492 nt
Filed under: uncultured bacterium
Lineage: Bacteria
Description: partial 16S ribosomal RNA
Rfam family: Bacterial small subunit ribosomal RNA
Source: RNAcentral